Molecule: ribosomal RNA, 784 nt
Filed under: uncultured Neocallimastigales
Lineage: Eukaryota; Fungi; Neocallimastigomycota; Neocallimastigomycetes; Neocallimastigales
Description: partial large subunit ribosomal RNA
Rfam family: Eukaryotic large subunit ribosomal RNA
Source: RNAcentral
CACGCAUGACACACUGCAUAUCAAUAAGCGGAGGAAAAGAAACUAACUAGGAUUCCCUUAGUAACGGCGAGUGAAGCGGGAAGAGCUCAAAUUUGAAAUCUUCAAGGUUCUACCUUGACGAAUUGUAGUUUAUAGAAGUGUUUUCUGUUGAAGUUGAGCGUCAAAAGUUCUUUGGAAUAGGACAUCAUAGAGGGUGAGAAUCCCGUAUUUGGUCAUUCCUCCUAGCGUUGUGAUACACUUUCAACGAGUCGGAUUGUUUGGGAAUGCAGUCCAAAAUGGGUGGUAAAUUUCAUCUAAAGCUAAAUAUUGGCGAGAGACCGAUAGCGAACAAGUACCGUGAGGGAAAGAUGAAAAGAACUUUGAAAAGAGAGUUAAACAGUACGUGAAAUUGUCAAAAGGGAAGCGUUUGACACCAGUGUUGUUUUUCUCGAAAAUCAAUUAAGAAGAGUUGGAUUUUGUAUUGGUUAUGACCUUUAUCAGGCUUACUGUACUUUUUUCUUGCUAACUUUUUAAUGCACUUUUCGGUUAACAAAGUCAACAUCAAUUUCUUUUGUUGUAAAAGGGUCAUUGAGGAAGGUGGCUUUCACUUCGGUGAAAGUGUUUAUAGCCUUUGGCUUCUAGCAAUCGGAGAGAUUGAGGUCUGCAGCGUAGAUCCUUCGGGGUUAGAUACGUAGAUGCUAAGUUAUAGUUUUUAUAGACAACUUGUUGACUAUGAUUAGUCAUGUAGCUUACUCGUUUACGCUAUUUUACCUACGCUUAGGAUGUUGAUCUGUAGUGCGUGCGC